UACGGGAGGCAGCAGUGGGGAAUAUUGCACAAUGGGCGAAAGCCUGAUGCAGCUAUGCCGCGUGUAUGAAGAAGGCCUUAGGGUUGUAAAGUACUUUCAUCGGGGAGGAAAAACAAAACUAAUAAUUUUAUUUCUUGACGUUACCCGAAAAAGAAGCACCGGCUAACUCCGUGCCAGCAGCCGCGGUAAUACGGAGGGUGCUAGCGUUAAUCAGAAUUACUGGGCGUAAAGAGCACGUAGGUGGUUUUUUUAAAGUCAGAUGUGAAAUCCCUGGGCUUAACCUAGGAACUGCAUUUUGAAACUGAAAUACUAGAGUAUCGUAGAGGGAGGUAGAAUUCUAGGUGUAGCGGUGAAAUGCGUAGAUAUCUGGAGGAAUACCUGUGGCGAAAAGCGGCCUCCUAAACGAAUACUGACACUGAGGUGCGAAAAGCGUGGGGAGCAAAACAGGGAUUAGAUACC
This 459-nucleotide ribosomal RNA is filed under the name uncultured bacterium. Its description in RNAcentral is "bacterial SSU rRNA". It matches the Rfam family "Bacterial small subunit ribosomal RNA", at positions 340 to 786 of the family's 1533-position model. The record is from RNAcentral.